Carassius gibelio (silver crucian carp) is the source of this 805-nucleotide long non-coding RNA. RefSeq lists it as uncharacterized. The transcript has 2 exons. The record is from RefSeq and is a predicted model, not a curated record. NCBI's taxonomy places the organism in Eukaryota, Metazoa, Chordata, Actinopteri, Cypriniformes, Cyprinidae.
CAGCGGCGUGUCCAGAACGAGGGGAUGUUGUGGCGUCGCGAGGAAGUUUUGACAUGUUGUUGUUGUUGGGACGGCACCAUGGUGAGAGCAAUCAGCUCACGGAAACUUUUGAGCGUGAGUAAGAAGUUUGGCUGGAAUUCCACUGCAGCAUCUCGGCAGUGUGAUGUGUGCGGGUGCCUCACUUCUUGUGCUUAUCGUGUGUGACAGCACGUUGACAGCAGGGGGAAGGAAAAGAAAACAGAACCGUGUGGGUUUGUGCUUGCCACUGGAUGUCAAAGAAAUGACAUACAGAAGCUCAGAGGGAAUUAUAAAAGCCAUGAUAAAAAUCAAAUAUAAGUGGAGAGAUAAAAUGCUUUAGAUGGCUUGUGAGGACAGGAAUGUUGAUAUUAAGAAACAACAGAGUAGAAUUGCCUUGUAUCUAAAUGGAUCGACUUGUCUGUAAAUAUAAUGACCAGAGAUAUUUUGUUGAAGUGAAAGUUCAUCUAAAAACUUCCAUGGCGCUCCAAACCCAUAUAACUUACUUCCUUGUUUAGAACACAAAAACACUUAGCAGAAUGUCCAAGAUGUUGUUUAUCCUUUGAAAAUGGAUGGACUUUGGAGUGUAACUGAUGACAGAAUUAACAUAAAAUCUCUGUGAUGUGACAUUUGUCUUUAAUGAAAUUGUGACAUGAAAAAUCUAAUUUAAACUUUUGACUUAUAAGAUGUUUUUGUACCAUUAAAACAUCCUGUAAGUUUCAUAGAUUAAAACAUCCUCUUAAAGGGUUAGUUCACCCAAUAAUCAAAAUUGUGUAAUUAAUAACUCACC